UUUCCGUAGGUGAACCUGCGGAAGGAUCAUUAACGAGUUAGGGUCUUCCAGGCCCGACCUCCCAACCCUAUGUUUAUUGAACCUCUGUUGCUUCGGCGGACCCGUCUCACGACCGCCGGAGGACCGCCGCGAGGCGUCCUCUGGCCAGCGUCCGCCGAUGGCCAACCACUUAACUCUGAAUGAAUCGUGUCAUUAUGUCUAAGUCUAUGAUUAAAUUAAAGCAAAACUUUCGACAACGGAUCUCUUGGUUCUG
This 253-nucleotide unclassified non-coding RNA is filed under the name plant metagenome. RNAcentral describes it as "partial contains small subunit ribosomal RNA, internal transcribed spacer 1, and 5.8S ribosomal RNA". The record is from RNAcentral.